AGAGUUUGAUCAUGGCUCAGAGCGAACGCUGGCGGCAGGCCUAACACAUGCAAGUCGAGCGGGCGUAGCAAUACGUCAGCGGCAGACGGGAGAGUAACACGUGGGAACGCGCCCUUCGGUUCGGAAUAACUCAGGGAAACUUGAGCUAAUACCGGAUACGCCCUUACGGGGAAAGAUUUAUCGCCUUGGGAUGAGCCCGCGUCAGAUUAGGUAGUUGGUGGGGUAACGGCCUACCAAGCCUGCGAUCUGUAGCUGGUCUGAGAGGACGAUCAGCCACACUGGGACUGAGACACGGCCCAGACUCCUACGGGAGGCAGCAGUGGGGAAUCUUGCGCAAUGGGCGAAAGCCUGACGCAGCCAUGCCGCGUGAAUGAUGAAGGUCUUAGGAUUGUAAAGUUCUUUCGCCCGUGACGAUGAUGACGGUAACGGGAGAAGAAGCCCCGGCUAACUUCGUGCCAGCAGCCGCGGUAAUACGAAGGGGGCUAGCGUUGUUCGGAAUUACUGGGCGUAAAGCGCGCGUAGGCGGUUUUGCAAGCCAGAGGUGAAAUGCCUGAGCUCAACUUGGGAAUUGCCUUUGGGACUGUGAGGCUUUGAGGACUGGAGAGGUGAGUGGAAUUCCCAGUGUAGAGGUGAAAUUCGUAGAUAUUGGGAAGAACACCGGUGGCGAAGGCGGCUCACUGGCCAGUUUCUGACGCUGUAGCGCGAAAGCGUGGGGAUCAAACAGGAUUAGAUACCCUAGUAGUCC
Molecule: ribosomal RNA, 745 nt
Filed under: uncultured bacterium
Lineage: Bacteria
Description: bacterial SSU rRNA
Rfam family: Bacterial small subunit ribosomal RNA
Source: RNAcentral